GUGGGGAAUUUUGCGCAAUGGAGGAAACUCUGACGCAGCAACGCCGCGUGGGUGAUGAAGGUCUUCGGAUUGUAAAACCCUGUCGUCGGGGACGAAGGUGGGGGGGUUAAUAGCCUCUUUGCUUGACGGUACCCGGAGAGGAAGCCCCGGCUAACUCUGUGCCAGCAGCCGCGGUAAUACAGAGGGGGCAAGCGUUAUUCGGAAUUAUUGGGCGUAAAGGGCGCGUAGGCGGUGAUUCAAGUUGGAUGUGUAAUCCCCGGGCUCAACCUGGGAACUGCAUCCAAGACUGGAUUGCUAGAGUGCUGGAGAGGGUGGUGGAAUUCCUCGUGUAGCGGUGAAAUGCGUAGAGAUGAGGAGGAACACCAGUGGCGAAGGCGGCCACCUGGACAGUAACUGACGCUGAGGCGCGAAAGUGUGGGGAGCAAACAGGAUUAGAAACCCCUGUAGUCC
RNAcentral lists this ribosomal RNA (450 nucleotides) under uncultured bacterium. Its description in RNAcentral is "bacterial SSU rRNA". It matches the Rfam family "Bacterial small subunit ribosomal RNA", at positions 354 to 796 of the family's 1533-position model. The record is from RNAcentral.